This 250-nucleotide ribosomal RNA is filed under the name uncultured bacterium. Its description in RNAcentral is "partial 16S ribosomal RNA". It matches the Rfam family "Bacterial small subunit ribosomal RNA", at positions 524 to 773 of the family's 1533-position model. The record is from RNAcentral.
UACGGAGGGGGCUAGCGUUGUUCGGAAUUACUGGGCGUAAAGGGUGCGUAGGCGGCUGUCCAAGUCGGGUGUGAAAGCCCCGGGCUCAACCCGGGAUGUGCAUCCGAGACUGAAUGGCUUGAGUUCGGGAGAGGUGAGUGGAAUUCCCAGUGUAGAGGUGAAAUUCGUAGAUAUUGGGAAGAACACCGGUGGCGAAGGCGGCUCACUGGACCGACACUGACGCUGAGGCACGAAAGCGUGGGGAGCAAAC